RNAcentral lists this long non-coding RNA (3452 nucleotides) under Homo sapiens (human). Its description in RNAcentral is "HSALNT0391636". Lineage: Eukaryota; Metazoa; Chordata; Mammalia; Primates; Hominidae. The record is from RNAcentral.
GUUUGGUUAUCUUUCUGUGCUGUGGAAGGUUUGUUCUUUCACUCUGCACUAUUUUGCAAUAAAUAUUGCUAUUGCUCACUUUGGGUUUAUAUUGCCUUUAUGAGCUGUAACACUCACCAUGAAGGUCUGCAGCUUUACUCUUGAAGCUUAGCGAGACCACUAACCCACCAGAAGGAAGAAACUCCGGACACGCCGCCUUUAAGAACUGUAAUACUCAGUGCGAGGGUUCACGGCUUCAUUCUUGAGAAAGACAACGAGGAGGGAGCAGCUAGAGGGGUGGAAAUGGGAUCACGUGACCUUGCGAGAAGCAGGGAGAGAGAACACUGCGUCUGCUCCCUUUUAGAACAGCUCAAUAUAGGGAAUCCCUAACAGAGGACUUCCAGGAUAUCCUAGGGACAGCAGAGCCUCAAGAUCCAGGGAGGAUCCUGGAUACCUGAGUCACCACUUGGAGGGGAAUCUCCUGGAAGAACUGAUUGAUCAGCAACAUCUACAUUCAACUUGAGCCUAAAUCAGCAUCCAGCGGCCUUGAGGAAAAAGACUGAGGUUGCUACAGAGGAGAGCAGAAAGAAGAAGGGAGCUAACGUUCAGCUUUUGAUAUUCAAAAUGAGAUUUCUUGGCAAAAUAAUAGGAGAGGAAAAAAUUUUUCCAAGUUUCUUUAGCUCCUAUUUAACAGAUCAAGACUGGCUUUGAUGUGUUGCUCCAGUUCCCCUACCCUCUCCUGCCCUGCUUAGGCCUUGCCUCUUGGUUACAUAGAGGGAGCAGUUGUGGGGAGGAAGAGGCCACCUCUGCUGGUCUACAGUCAAGGUAUUAUCUGGGGCUGGGGUCUCAUCUGAAGACUCAACUGGGGAAAGAUCCACAUCUAAGCUCAUGUGAUUGUGGGGGAGGAAGGGAGGGAGAAGGAUAGAGAGGGAGGUGCUGUGCUUUCUUCCCUGAGCCUUGGGAGGUGGGAGGUCUGGAGGUGGCCUUGAGACCAGCCUGCUAGGAGGUUAUGGGACCUGAGGGGCAGGGGAAAGCUUUUGCCCAGCUACAGGUGGAGUGUGGUCACAUCUCACAUGCUCAGCCUGCUUGGGCUGAAGGAGGCCUGAACAUUUCCAUCCCCAAGCUGACCUCAGUUUAUACUUGUUAGAGUAGCUGACGGAUUGCUGAGAAGCUGGCUACUGGGGAGGACAGUCAUUGUGGUUAGUCGUCUUUUUUUUUUUAACAGGUUGGGCAAUGUUGAGGUCAUCCUGCAAAAAGCCUGGGGUCCUGCUCUCCUAACCUUCAGCACCCCUUGAGUGUGGUGGAAGAGGGCUUUGAGUCUUGAGCAGUCAGAGAAACCACGUUGUGACUUGCUGCAAGGGCAAAUGACAAAUGAUGGCCAGGCAAACCACCUAGGGACUUUGUCAGGCAAGACACAGGACUGUGGAAGUCACAGGAGGGCUGGCCAGGAAGGCUGCCUCUUUCAACGUCCCCAAGGCAACCACUCUAUGUCAGCAAGGACUCCUGAACCCAUGGCAACCCACCAGCUGCUGCUCUGGGAAGUGAGACCUUACCAGCUUGCUGCCUCCCCAGCAAUGCAGCUGCCCUGUUGGUCAGGACAACCUCUCAGGAGGGUAUCAGGCCCUGGUGUACAGUCCUUUCUUCUAGAAAGAGACAAACAGUGCAAUCACCACAGCCUCCCACUUCUUCUUAGACAGAUCUCACAUCGGAUUCACAGGGGCUUCCUGGGAACAUAAUUCUGUUGAGCCUUAGAAAUCAGGUAGGAUUUUGACUGAUUUGGGAGGUUGGUUAAUUUUACUUUUAUUUUGUUCUCUACAGCUGCUGUUAAGCCUGGCUUAGGGGUCCACCCUUUCCCAGCCCCCUUCCCUUUCUUUAUAACCUGGAUUUUGCACAAUCUAUAUCUCUCUAUAUCUCUGCAUCCAUCCAUCCAUCCAUCCAUCCAUCCAUCCAUCCAUCCAUCUCCCUCCCUUUGCCCAUUUGUCUCUUUCUUGAUAUAGGCUAGACUUUCCCAAAGUAAUUUCAACAAAAAGUAAAGGAAAAAAUCAAAUGAGAUGCACACCUUUCUCUCCAAGCCACAAACAGUGCAUAACAUCAUCAGGUAGUCAGGCUUCUGAAGGUUCUCUACACACGCCUGAUCUCUCCAAUAGCUAAGGCUCUCACUUUCAGUGUGGUUAGUGGUUAGGGAAAUGGACUUGAGAGCUGGACUGCCUGGGCUCAAUUCUCAGCUCUGGUACUGGUCUCAUGGCCUUGGGAAAGUGUUUUGUUGUUGUUGUUUUGUUUUUACAUUUCUCUGCCUCAGUGCUUCUUCGGUAAAAUGGGAAUAAAAAGAGUAACUGUCUCAUAAGAUGACUGUGAGAAUGAAAUCAGUGAAUUAAUAUGUACAAAGAGCUUAAACAUCACUUGGAACAUAGUAAGUGAUAUAUGAGAGUCAGUUCUUAUGACUAGUACUGGGCACAUAAGGUGGCAAGACCCCCUUAUCCCCAUUUUUAGUUCUUGGCAAGUCCCCCUUUGACUCCAGGUUGCUAAGCACAGCUAUGCAGGUUGCACACUACAUACCCCAUCUCCACAGACUCACUCACUCACUCUUCUCCUGUGCAGGGAGGAGUUAGGGUGGCGUUUCGGGCAGAUCAUUAUGGCAAAUGGAGUUUGCAGCAGGACUAACAGGGUCACCUUCAGGGUCCUGGAUGAAGUUCAUUCUUUCAGGGCCACAGAAGCGUAGAAAACUCUUUAGUCAUAAGUUGGUGGGGGUGCCAAGAGGAAAGGCACAGCAGAGAAUGCUAAGAGCCUAAGGAUGUGACUGGAGAAUCUCCUGAAGUUAUAGAUCCUGCAGGCAGGGCUGGCUUCAGGGAAGUGCAACCUGUGCAGUCGCACUGGUCCACAUGCUUGGAAGAGGCCCCUUAUUUUCACUUUGCACUGAGUCCUCAAGUUACAUGACUGGUCAGUCCUACCCCAUAAGGCAUGGAUUGCAAAGGAGAACAAAGAAUCCACGGAGGUGAUCGACUUUGAGGUGAAGCUGGGAGAGGAAGAUGAUGGUGCCAUCAACAGAAAAAGAGUCUUUCUAUUGCCUUCUUGGCUGGCAGGCUUUGAUGACUCAGGCUGCCAUACUGAAGAUGCCCACAUGGCCAGGAGCUGGGACCUUUAUUCUAACAACCCUCAAGCAGCUGAAUCCUGCCAAUAAUCAUGUGAGCUUGGAUGUGGGUCCUUCCCUACUUGAACCUUCAGAUGAGACCCCAGCCCCAGCUGAUACUUUGACUGCAGCUUUGUGAGAGACCCUGAGACAGAGGACCGAGAUGAGCCAUGCCUUGGCUGCUGGCCCACAAAAACUGUGAGAUCAAAAUGAUGUGUUGUUUUAAGCCAUUAACUGUGUGGUAACUUGUCAAACAGUGUAUUAGGCCAUUUGUGUUGCUACAAAGGAAUACCCGAGGCUGAGUAGUUUAUUAAGAAAAGAGGUUUAAUUGGCUUAUGGUUCUGCA